This 335-nucleotide ribosomal RNA is filed under the name uncultured Chlorophyta. RNAcentral describes it as "SSU rRNA". It matches the Rfam family "Eukaryotic small subunit ribosomal RNA", at positions 594 to 945 of the family's 1831-position model. Lineage: Eukaryota; Viridiplantae; Chlorophyta. The record is from RNAcentral.
CAAUAGCGUAUAUUUAAGUUGUUGCAGUUAAAAAGCUCGUAGUUGGAUUUCGGGUGGGUGUUAGCGGUCCGGCUCUGCUGUGUACYGCUAGUGCCUAUCUUUCUGUCGGGGACGGGCUCUUGGGCUUCAUUGUCCGGGACUCGGAGUCGACGUGGUUACUUUGAGUAAAUUAGAGUGUUCAAAGCAAGCGUUCGCUGUGAAUACAUUAGCAUGGAAUAACACGAUAGGACUCUGGCUUAUCUUGUUGGUCUGUAAGACCGGAGUAAUGAUUAAGAGGGACAGUCGGGGGCAUUCGUAUUUCAUUGUCAGAGGUGAAAUUCUUGGAUUUAUGAAAG